This 449-nucleotide ribosomal RNA is filed under the name uncultured bacterium. Its description in RNAcentral is "partial 16S ribosomal RNA". It matches the Rfam family "Bacterial small subunit ribosomal RNA", at positions 329 to 793 of the family's 1533-position model. The record is from RNAcentral.
GACCAGACUCCUACGGGAGGCAGCAGUGGGGGAUAUUGCACAAUGGGGGAAACCCUGAUGCAGCGACGCCGCGUGGGUGAAGAAGCGCCUCGGCGCGUAAAGCCCUAUCGGCAGGGAAGAAGGAGGACGGUACCUGACUAAGAAGCCCCGACUAACUACGUGCCAGCAGCCGCGGUAAUACGUAGGGGGCAAGCGUUAUCCGGAUUUACUGGGUGUAAAGGGGGCGCAGACGGCAGCGCAAGCCAGGAGUGAAAGCCCGGGGCCCAACCCCGGGACUGCUCUUGGAACUGCGCGGCUGGAGUGCAGGAGGGGCAGGCGGAAUUCCUGGUGUAGCGGUGAAAUGCGUAGAUAUCAGGAGGAACACCGGUGGCGAAGGCGGCCUGCUGGACUGCGACUGACGUUGAGGCCCGAAAGCGUGGGGAGCAAACAGGAUUAGAUACCCCCGUACG